AGCUGUCAGCCCAGAGCCCGACACGGGGCUCAAACCCACAAACUGUGAGAUCAUGAUCUGAGCCAAAGUCAGACGCUUAACCGACUGAGCCCCCAGCCUCCCCAAUUUUGGUUAAUAAGCAGGUAACAUCUGCUUGUUAAAAACAACCAACUUUUAAGGAGUAUCCUUUUCCUUUGGAAUCAUCACUAUGUUCCAGACACUGCAGGUGUCGUAAGUAUGAUCUCAUAAGUCCUCAAGUUGGAAAGAACUCCGAACAGAACCCCAUCUGUAGAAUGAGAAGCCAAUGCCCACCUCACAGAGUUUUGGGGAUCGAGCAAGACAUUGCCUACGGGGCACGCAGGGCUAGCACAAAGGUAAGUGCACAGUGUCUUAUGCUUAUUAUGAGCACUGCAGCAGCCAUCAACUUUAUCAAGGCACCAAGAACCUUGAUGCUCUCAGACAUGAAGACACUCGCCCAAGACCUAAAACCUGAGAAGUCACAGAACAGGUUCCUCCUGGCUUCAAAUGCCACACUUAGCAAUAUUGGGCCCUUGGAGAAACAUGGUAGCAAGGGUGUCGGCCAGGAGACGCUGUCCCAUUGUUAUUGGUUGGCACCCCUUCUACAUGGUUCUGUGCCCUUUUCAAUUGUUCUUGUGCCACAGGAACAUACAGGCCCUAGUCCCACAUUUAGUCCCACAUUUAGCUAAGCCUCGCUGUAUGUGAGUUUGAGGAGCUUUAGUUGCUUUGUUUUAGAUGCUUUCCUUUCUGCCUCCUCCACACACAGGCUGGGAAAGUGAGGAUGUUCCUGCCUCGUUGGGACACCCAGAGAGGCGGCUUUGCCUGUGCCCCUUUGGAAAACUGCCGCUGCAUAUGGAGGCAAGGAGGGGGUGUCUGAGACUGUGGACUCGCAUCUGUAGCGGGAAGAGAAGUCUGAGGGUGACGGUGUUCGAGGUACCGACCCUUGUCAUCUUUUCUUUGUUGUGUGUGCAUGUGUGUUGGGGGCAGGGCUCUGAUUACUGGUUGCUCGCAGUUUCCCUUACUUUCCUCAGAACUCUUCUGAUUCAUUAGAUUAGCAUAAGUAACUGAAGCUGGCAGGAUAGUUGCUUAAUUGGUUGGAGGUUAAUAUUUUGAACUCCACCGUCAAGGCGGUGGGUCUUGGGUUCUGGAGGCCCGGGCAGCCCCCAUCGCGCACGUUGGACCCACACUAUCAAACUCAUUGCCACCCUCCACCUCUCUCUGUGCCCCGCCAGCCUUUGUGGGAGGGGAGUUCGUGGUAGGAGCCAGAAAGAUCACGAGCUCUCUCCUAUCCUUUCAGUGUUAAAUUCUGUUUAGCGAAAAACAAACAAAAAAACUCAUUUAAUUUCCUAAUCCUUGUCCUUCCUCCUCCCUUUAACCCCCAACUUUGCUCCCAGUGCCAUCAGACUAUGCACUGCCUACCUCCCACCCCCCAUUGCAGACUCCUGCAGGCCCCCGGCCGCCCGCCCCCCAUUCCUUCACCAUAUUAGCCCCUGGCUCACCGUCACCUCUCCAGUACUGCUCUGGUCAGGGUUCAGUACAGAGAAGCCUCACAGUACCGCGGGGCUCUCAGGUCACUGACCAGCCUGGCUGUGAUGUACUGAUCCCGUACUCCAUCUCGGCCUCCUGCUCCCGCCGUCACACCUUAGCCAUGGUCAUCAUCAGUAGCCACACCCCAGUAGGCAACACGGUCUUCAUAACUACACCUCUCGUUUUCCACCCGUGGCCCCCUGCCCUUCCGUCCCUCCCCCUCCAGUGCCCACCCCCUCGGCGGUUCUUCAGCCUCGCCGGGCCUAGAGUUUGUGGCCCCUACCACCUUUUCACUGCCCCUCCCCUCCCCAGAGAUUCUCUGGUCCUCAUCCGCCAUGCCCCUGGGUUUAGUCCCACUCUGUGCCUGGAAUGCCUGCACACGGCUGGAUACAAGCAUGUGGACUGACAAAGCUUUGGUUCAUGAGUGCCGGGCUCCAGUAAGUUCCUAACGCUGCCCAGCAGCCCCGCACGUCCCUGGUUCCUUCGUCCUCCAGUGGACAUUCUCCUUGACCCUCGACCCUCGACCCUGACCCCUCCUCUCCUCUCGAGGGCUGCUCCUGUUGUUUCCUGUUUCACUGAGAAAACAGGCCAUCGGCGGGUGGCUUGCUCCUGCUCCCACUACCGUGUCCCCCUGCUUGUGACGGUGGUGAGCCAGCAGCAGUGCCCCUUUCCAAGUCUGUCCUCCGUCUGGGCAUCCUCCCCGCCCCCGCCCCCAAGCACCACCACAGUGCUGUCCUCGCCCCUCCUCCGGGUCAUUCCCACCGGCAUGUGAACAUGCUGGGGUGACUCCCAUCUUCCUGUUAACACAAACCCUUGACAGAGUUCUGCACACCCUCCUUUUUUCCACUUCUCAGCUUCCCUUGAACUCUCUCUGGUUGGGCUUCUGUCCCCCUCGGUCUACUGACACGGCGUUGGGCAGGGUCACCAAUGGUUCCCCUGUUGCCAGAGGAAUGUGCUUCCCCGUGUUUGAGUCCACCUGUCAGGGACAUUUGACACAAAAGCAACGGACACCCUCCUCUUGCAAACCCCUGCUUCUUGUGGCUUCCUCGCGCUCCACUGGCCGCUCAACCUCAUUUCCUCCGCCCGCCCUUAUCUCCUCCAAUACUGGAACGCCCAGUCCCCCUGGCUUCUCUAACUGCAUCUACCUCCGUGAUGAGCUCAGGCAUCUCACAGCUUUCAACACCAACUGCAUGCUGCCGACUCCUCAUUUUACCCCACAGCCCAGAUCUUCCCCCGAGCCCCACACUCGUACCUCUAACUGGCCACUCUAUAUCUCCAUUAAGGUGGCGAAUGAGCUAACAGACAUCUCAGACUUUUAACAUGUCAGAGAACAAGCUUCUGAGCUCUCUCCCCUCCCCUGGUCACCCCUCGGUCUUCCCCACCGAAGGAAAGAACCCUCGUCCGUUUGUGUAGACCCAAAACUUUGGAGACAUUUUUCUUUUUC
Herpailurus yagouaroundi (jaguarundi) is the source of this 2968-nucleotide long non-coding RNA. RefSeq lists it as uncharacterized. The record is from RefSeq and is a predicted model, not a curated record. Lineage: Eukaryota; Metazoa; Chordata; Mammalia; Carnivora; Felidae. The transcript is spliced from 2 exons.